UUGGAGGGCAAGUCUGGUGCCAGCAGCCGCGGUAAUUCCAGCUCCAAUAGCGUAUAUUAAAGUUGUUGCAGUUAAAAAGCUCGUAGUUGAGUUUCGGGAUCAAAUAAUCGGUCGUGCCUCCGGUACGUACUGGUUUUAUUGGUUCCUCCCUUCUGACGAACCAUGAUGUCAUUAAUUUGAUGUGGUGGAGAAUCAGGACUGUUACCUUGAAAAAAUUAGAGUGUUUAAAGCAGGCUAACGCUUGAAUACAUUAGCAUGGAAUAAUGAAAUAGGACGUUCGACCCUAUUUUGUUGGUUUCUAGGAUCGACGUAAUGAUUAAUAGGGAUAGUUGGGGGCAUUAGUAUUCAAUUGUCAGAGGUGAAAUUCUUGGAUUUAUUGAAGACUAACUAUUGCGAAAGCAUUUGCCAAGGAUGUUUUCAUUAAUCAAGAACGAAAGUUAGGGGAUCGAAGACGAUCAGAUACCGUCGUAGUCUUAACCAUAAACUAUGCCGACUAGGAAUCGGGCGUCGUUAUUUUCACGACUCGCUCGGCGCCUUACGGGAAAC
Molecule: ribosomal RNA, 546 nt
Filed under: uncultured Glomus
Lineage: Eukaryota; Fungi; Glomeromycota; Glomeromycetes; Glomerales; Glomeraceae
Description: SSU rRNA
Rfam family: Eukaryotic small subunit ribosomal RNA
Source: RNAcentral